Molecule: ribosomal RNA, 497 nt
Filed under: uncultured bacterium
Lineage: Bacteria
Description: partial 16S ribosomal RNA
Rfam family: Bacterial small subunit ribosomal RNA
Source: RNAcentral
GAUGAACGCUGGCGGCGUGCCUAAUACAUGCAAGUCGAGCGAACGGACGAGAAGCUUGCGCCCCUACUGUUAGCGGCGGGCGGGUGAGUAACGCAUAGAUAACCAUCCUAUAUUACUGGGAUAAUUUCGGAAAACCGGAUAUACUAACGGCGCAUACUUUGUACCGGAUGGAUCAAAAGUGAAUGACAGUUUGCGCGUUACUAUUAGACGGUGUCGGGCUGCAUUAGCUAGUUGGUAAGGUAACGGCUUACCAAGGCAACGAUGCGUAGCCGACCUGAGAGGAUGAUCAGCCACACUGGAACUGAGACACGGUCCAGACUCCUACGGGAGGCAGCAGUAGGGAAUCUUGCGCAAUGGGCGCAAGCCUGACCCAGCAACGCCGCGUGAGUGAUGAAGGUCUUCGGGUCGUAAAACUCUGUUGUUAGGGAAGAACAUAUGUAUAAGUAUCCCUGCCUGUCUUGACGGUACCCAAACAGUAAGCACCGGCUAACUUCGUG